GACGAACGCUGGCGGCGUGCUUAACACAUGCGAGUCGAACGGAAAGGCCCUGCUUUUGUGGGGUGCUCGAGUGGCGAACGGGUGAGUAACACGUGAGUAACCUGCCCUUGACUUUGGGAUAACUUCAGGAAACUGGGGCUAAUACCGGAUAGGAGCUCCUGCUGCAUGGUGGGGGUUGGAAAGUUUCGGCGGUUGGGGGUGGACUCGCGGCUUAUCAGCUUGUUGGUGGGGUAGUGGCUUACCAAGGCUUUGACGGGUAGCCGGCCUGGGAGGGUGACCGGCAAAAUGGGAAGAGGGAAAGGGCCAAAAGACAAAGGGGGGGAAGGGGGGGGAAAAAGAGAAAAAGGGGGGGAAGCAUGGAGAAGAAAGGCGGGGGGGGGAAAGAGGGCGUGGGGGUUGAAAAAGGGUUGGGGGGGGGAGGAAGGGGGAGGGAGGGAAAGGGGAAAAGAAGAACCGGCAAACAACGG
This 467-nucleotide ribosomal RNA is filed under the name uncultured bacterium. Its description in RNAcentral is "partial 16S ribosomal RNA". The stretch from base 20 to 329 matches the Rfam family "Bacterial small subunit ribosomal RNA", at positions 47 to 358 of the family's 1533-position model. The record is from RNAcentral.